GCCCCUCCUCCCACUCCAAGCAGGGAUGGUAGAUCUUAUUCCUGUGGGGAAUCUCUCAUCUCUUCCUUUUUAUCUCUCAGCUUCUCCUCCCUCUCAAACUAAAGGGGUAGAGGGAGAGGGUAGAGGAGAAGGAGAAACUGUAUAGGAGAGAGGGUAGAGGAGAAAGAGAAAGGGGAGAGGGUAGAAGAGAGAGGGUAAAGGAGAGAGAGAAAGGGUAGAGGGAGAGGGUAGAGGAGAACAAGAAACUAAAGGGGAGAGGGUAGAGGAGAAAGAGAAACGUAGAGGGAGAGGGUAGAGAGAAAGGGUAGAGAGAGAGGGUAGAAGAGAGAGAGAAAGGGGAGAGGGAGAGGGUAGAGGAGAGAGAGAAAGGGUAGAGGAGAAUAAGAAAGGGUAGAGAGAGAGGGUAGAAGAGAGAGGGUAAAGGAGAGAGAGAAAGGGUAGAGGGAGAUGGUAGAGGAGAAGGAGAAACUGUAGAGGAGAGAGGGUAGAGAAGAGAGAGAGUGGAAUUGAUAGAUACAGAUUGAGAAAGGGACAUAUAGGAGAAGAUGAUAGAGACAGAGGGGGGAGGGUUGAUGCAUGGGAAGCAGAGAGGGUAGAGGGUUGUGACUAGAUGGAGUACAGCUAAGGCCGGAAGUGACUUUUAGUAGCAAGUUCUCCUAACUAUGAAAAAGUCACCUCUGGUUGAAGCUCUAUAUCACGUAGUCAGGUAGAGUGGAUAGAGG
This 722-nucleotide long non-coding RNA is filed under the name Salmo salar (Atlantic salmon). Its description in RNAcentral is "lncRNA (ENSSSAG00000116799.1)". The record is from RNAcentral. Lineage: Eukaryota; Metazoa; Chordata; Actinopteri; Salmoniformes; Salmonidae.